RNAcentral lists this non-coding RNA (744 nucleotides) under Heterobothrium okamotoi. The record is from RNAcentral. Lineage: Eukaryota; Metazoa; Platyhelminthes; Monogenea; Mazocraeidea; Diclidophoridae.
GUAUAAAUUUUAUUCUGGUUAAAGGUAGUAUAACUAUUAAACAUUCUCAUAGAUCCUAUAGUUUAACAGCAGUUUAGUUUUGUUGUUGUUUCUAGAGAAGAAUACUGUGACAAUUACACAAUAAAUUACAUAGAUCUGGUUUUAUAGAAUUAGGAGGAAAAAGCUCAGUGCCAGCAUCCGCGGUUAAACUGAUUUACCUCAAACUCCUGCUAGGUAAAAAGAGUAAAAUAAUCAUAAUAUUUAUUUUAUAUUAAAAUAUAAUAAAAUAAUGUUGUAAACAAAGGUUAUAUUUAACGAAAAAUAUAAGUAAAAACAGGGAUUAGAGACCCCUUUAUUAGUAGAUUUAUUUUUUUUGGCCACAGUUUUAACUGAAAGGAAUUGGCAGUUAGUUAUAUUCGUUUAGGGGAGUGUGUAAUAUAAUUGGAUGAUCCGCUUAAUAACUUUCCUUACUUAGUUUAGUUAGUGUAUAUCCGGUUAUAAGUCUUAGUUAACAGACUUGGACGUAUAUAAAAUAUUUUAAGCCAGGUCAAUAUGCUACUAAUAGUAAGGUAAUUAUUCACUACUUUUAUAUAGGAAAUUAUGUAGGUUAAUUUUUAUUUAGGACUUAAAAGUAAUACUAAUAAGUAUGUUAGUUUGAAAUAAAGGAUGGGAUUUGACUAGUGUACACAUCGCCCGUCACCUUCGAUAUAAAUUGAAGAAAGUCGUAACAUGGUAGUUUCAGGGGAACCUAAAACUAAAAAAUAU